Long non-coding RNA from Bos taurus (domestic cattle), 709 nucleotides. NCBI's taxonomy places the organism in Eukaryota, Metazoa, Chordata, Mammalia, Artiodactyla, Bovidae. The record is from Ensembl.
ACAUGAAUGCGCCCGGGUCAGAGGUUCUUGGGGGCCCUCCAGGUGCUCUGCCCUUCCCCACCACAACUCCUGCAACUCCAUCCCUUGGCAGGCAUUGCUGUUAUUUGUGUGGAAGGUGUUGUUCCUGAUAAGACUUGCAGUCCACAUGGCUGGGAGCAGUUACCAUGAUACAGGAAGCCAGAAGAAGCAACGGUCUGUUCUCCUAAAGAAGUCUGUAGUAGAAUAAGAGGUUAUAUUUGGGAUCAGUUGGAUGUCCCAUUGGACUAUCUUACAAGCAAUUAUAAACAUGGAACAACAGUGGCCGAGGCGUUGGCAUGCAGAUACUUGCAAAGUGAAAAUGGAUACACUUCCACACUCCUCAUUCCUGGCCUGGAGGACAGCCUGCCAACCGUGCAUGCAUGUUGGUUUGGCACCGAGACAAAUGUUCCCUGGAGCAUAGACUGAAACCACCAAACUGAUAUCACGUGGGACACCAGCCAAAUCCUGACCUUGCUCUCUGUAGGCCUCUACUUUGGAUCAACUCAUUAUCCCGAAUAAACGAUGUGUCAUUCCCAUUAUUUAUGUUUCACUGCAGCCAAAGUAUCUGGACCUCGUUUUAGUAAGCGCCAUUCAUUUCGACCCAUUCAGUAUUAAUCUCCCUGCUAACAUCUUUCCUGUUCUAUGUGCUGUCCCCUAUUUGCUUUUAUGUUUUCUGCAGAGUGUUUAUAAA